Molecule: ribosomal RNA, 445 nt
Filed under: Cryobacterium sp. BAC314P
Lineage: Bacteria; Bacillati; Actinomycetota; Actinomycetes; Micrococcales; Microbacteriaceae
Description: bacterial SSU rRNA
Rfam family: Bacterial small subunit ribosomal RNA
Source: RNAcentral
GCGAAGAAGAUUACCAAGGCUUGACAUAUAGAGGACACGUAUGGAAACAGUCGCCCCGCAAGGUCUCUAUACAGGUGGUGCAUGGUUGUCGUCAGCUCGUGUCGUGAGAUGUUGGGUUAAGUCCCGCAACGAGCGCAACCCUCGUCCUAUGUUGCCAGCACGUAAUGGUGGGAACUCAUGGGAGACUGCCGGGGUCAACUCGGAGGAAGGUGGGGAUGACGUCAAAUCAUCAUGCCCCUUAUGUCUUGGGCUUCACGCAUGCUACAAUGGCCGGUACAAAGGGCUGCAAUACCGUAAGGUGGAGCGAAUCCCAAAAAGCCGGUCUCAGUUCGGAUUGAGGUCUGCAACUCGACCUCAUGAAGUUGGAGUCGCUAGUAAUCGUGGAUCAGCAACGCCACGGUGAAUACGUUCCCGGGCCUUGUACACACCGCCCGUCAAGUCAAGA